GACGUAGGGCGCGAGCGUUGUCCGGAUUUAUUGGGUUUAAAGGGUGCGUAGGCGGUCUAUUAAGUCAGUGGUGAAAGCCAACAGCUCAACUGUUGAACUGCCAUUGAUACUGAUAGACUUGAGUACAGACGAGGUAGGCGGAAUUGAAGAUGUAGCGGUGAAAUGCAUAGAUAUCUUCAAGAACACCGAUUGCGUAGGCAGCUUACUAGGCUGUAACUGACGCUGAGGCACGAAAGCGUGGGGAGCGAACAGG
RNAcentral lists this ribosomal RNA (253 nucleotides) under uncultured bacterium. RNAcentral describes it as "partial 16S ribosomal RNA". It matches the Rfam family "Bacterial small subunit ribosomal RNA", at positions 524 to 776 of the family's 1533-position model. The record is from RNAcentral.